GAUGAACGCUGGCGGCGUGCUUAACACAUGCAAGUCGAACGGGAAUUAUUUUAUUGAAACUUCGGUCGAUUUCAUUUAAUUCUAGUGGCGGACGGGUGAGUAACGCGUGGGUAACCUGCCUUAUACAGGGGGAUAACAGUCAGAAAUGGCUGCUAAUACCGCAUAAGCGCACCGAGCUGCAUGGCUCAGUGUGAAAAACUCCGGUGGUAUAAGAUGGACCCGCGUUGGAUUAGCUUGUUGGCAGGGUAACGGCCUACCAAGGCGACGAUCCAUAGCCGGCCUGAGAGGGUGAACGGCCACAUUGGGACUGAGACACGGCCCAGACUCCUACGGGAGGCAGCAGUGGGGAAUAUUGCACAAUGGGGGAAACCCUGAUGCAGCGACGCCGCGUGAAGGAAGAAGUAUCUCGGUAUGUAAACUUCUAUCAGCAGGGAAGAUAGUGACGGUACCUGACUAAGAAGCCCCGGCUAACUACGUG
This 478-nucleotide ribosomal RNA is filed under the name uncultured bacterium. RNAcentral's name for it is "partial 16S ribosomal RNA". It matches the Rfam family "Bacterial small subunit ribosomal RNA", at positions 28 to 507 of the family's 1533-position model. The record is from RNAcentral.